GACGAGGGGUCCAAGCGUUGCUCGGAAUUAUUGGGCGUAAAGGGUGCGUAGGCGGGUCUUUAAGUCAGGGGUGAAAUCCUGGAGCUCAACUCCAGAACUGCCUUUGAUACUGAAGAUCUUGAGUUCGGGAGAGGUGAGUGGAACUGCGAGUGUAGAGGUGAAAUUCGUAGAUAUUCGCAAGAACACCAGUGGCGAAGGCGGCUCACUGGCCCGAUACUGACGCUGAGGCACGAAAGCGUGGGGAGCAAACAGG
This 253-nucleotide ribosomal RNA is filed under the name uncultured bacterium. RNAcentral's name for it is "partial 16S ribosomal RNA". It matches the Rfam family "Bacterial small subunit ribosomal RNA", at positions 524 to 776 of the family's 1533-position model. The record is from RNAcentral.